AAGGCCUGGCGCUUCAUGAUGAGCCCGCGGCCUAUCAGCUAGUUGGCAGGGUAACGGCCUACCAAGGCGAAGACGGGUAGCUGGUCUGAGAGGACGACCAGCCACACUGGAACUGAGACACGGUCCAGACACCUACGGGUGGCAGCAGUCGAGAAUUUUUCACAAUGGGCGCAAGCCUGAUGGAGCGACGCCGCGUGGGGGAUGAAUGGCUUCGGCCCGUAAACCCCUGUCAUUUGCGAACAAACCUCAUUAUUUAAAAGAUGAUGAGUUGAUGGUAGCGAAAGAGGAAGGGACGGCUAACUCUGUGCCAGCAGCCGCGGUAAUACAGAGGUCCCGAGCGUUGUUCGGAUUCACUGGGCGUAAAGGGUGCGUAGGUGGCGAGGUAAGUCGGAUGUGAAAUCUCGGAGCUCAACUCCGAAACGGCAUUGGAAACUACCUUGCUCGAGGGUUGGAGGGGGGACUGGAAUACUUGGUGUAGCAGUGAAAUGCGUAGAUAUCAAGUAGAACACCAGUGGCGAAGGCGAGUCCCUGGACAACUCCUGACACUGAGGCACGAAAGCUAGGGGAGCAAACAGGAUUAGAUACCCUGGUAGUCCUAGCCGUAAACGGUGCACGUUUGCUGU
RNAcentral lists this ribosomal RNA (623 nucleotides) under uncultured bacterium. RNAcentral describes it as "bacterial SSU rRNA". It matches the Rfam family "Bacterial small subunit ribosomal RNA", at positions 202 to 823 of the family's 1533-position model. The record is from RNAcentral.